RNAcentral lists this ribosomal RNA (460 nucleotides) under uncultured bacterium. RNAcentral's name for it is "partial 16S ribosomal RNA". It matches the Rfam family "Bacterial small subunit ribosomal RNA", at positions 338 to 795 of the family's 1533-position model. The record is from RNAcentral.
CCUACGGGAGGCAGCAGUGAGGAAUAUUGGUCAAUGGGCUUACGCCUGAACCAGCCAAGUCGCGGGAGGGAAGACUGCCCUAUGGGUUGUAAACCUCUUUUGUCAGGGAGCAACGCCGGCUACGUGUAGCCGGACUGAGAGUACCUGAAGAAAAAGCAUCGGCUAACUCCGUGCCAGCAGCCGCGGUAAGACGGAGGAUGCGAGGGUUAUCCGGGUUUAUGGGGUUUAAAGGGUGCGUAGGCGGAAUGCCAAGCCAGCGGUAAAAUCGCGGGGCUCAACCUCGCUCCGCCGUUGAAACUGGCGUUCUUGAGUGGGCGAGAAGUAUGCGGAAUGCGUGGUGUAGCGGUGAAAUGCAUAGAUAUCGCGCAGAACUCCGAUUGCGCAGGCAGCAUACCGGCGCCCAACUGACGCUGAAGCACGAAAGCGUGGGUAUCGAACAGGAUUAGAUACCCCUGUAGUC